GGAAUAUUGGACAAUGGGCGCAAGCCUGAUCCAGCCAUGCCGCGUGAGUGAUGAAGGCCUUAGGGUUGUAAAGCUCUUUCAGUAGGGAAGAUAAUGACGGUACCUACAGAAGAAGCCCCGGCUAACUCCGUGCCAGCAGCCGCGGUAAUACGGGGGGGGCAAGCGUUGUUCGGAAUUACUGGGCGUAAAGGGUUCGUAGGUGGCCAACUAAGUCAUACGUGAAAUCCCUCAGCUUAACUGGGGAACUGCGUCUGAUACUGGUUGGCUCGAGUGCAGGAGAGGAACGCGGAAUUCCAGGUGUAGCGGUGAAAUGCGUAGAUAUCUGGAGGAACACCGGUGGCGAAGGCGGCGUUCUGGACUGUAACUGACACUGAGGAACGAAAGCCAGGGGAGCAAAC
This 398-nucleotide ribosomal RNA is filed under the name uncultured bacterium. Its description in RNAcentral is "bacterial SSU rRNA". It matches the Rfam family "Bacterial small subunit ribosomal RNA", at positions 358 to 773 of the family's 1533-position model. The record is from RNAcentral.